This is a long non-coding RNA of Felis catus (domestic cat), 9618 nucleotides long. RefSeq lists it as uncharacterized. NCBI's taxonomy places the organism in Eukaryota, Metazoa, Chordata, Mammalia, Carnivora, Felidae. The record is from RefSeq and is a predicted model, not a curated record. The transcript has 4 exons.
UCAGCACAGAGCCUGACACAGGGCUCAAACUCACAAAUUGUGAGAUCAUGACCUGAGCCGAAGUCGGACGCUUAACCGACUGAGCCACCCAGGCACCCUGAGAGUUACUAUUUUUAAAGUAAAUCUCAUGAGGCAUUAAAAACAUGAUUUGGGAAUACCGCAAUAAAGAUUUAUUCUUAUUUGAUGGCCGUCACUAAAAAUUGUCUUGGAAAAGUUUUGUUAAUCCUAAAAUGCCUUCUGCUGUUGAAGAACCUACAUGGUGUGAGUGGCUUUUUAAAAAUAAAUUGCCUGUUAUUCUAAGACUAGAAUCAGGUGUUCCAGAAUAACUAUAGGUAUAAUAUGCAGGAGUUUUUUGUUUGUUUUGGUUCUUAAGUGAGAUUGGGUUAACACCUAUAACCAGAAAGGUUUGGUUUUAAGGAGUUAACGACCUACUGAAUUUGGAGGAUGCAAAAUGAAAAACUUUGUAUAGACCACCUGCCUAACUGGUGAAGUAUUAAUUCUAGAGUUCUAGAAACAGGUUCUCAUAGUUACCAUUUAAAAAUUCUGUAUCUUGUUGUAAGUUUGUAAAUCACCUUUAUUCUACUACCCUCGUAAAAACUGGCACAAAUCUUACCCAUAUCAUACCUAAGGAUUUUACCUGAAUCUGAUACAGGACCUGUACAACCUUACUGGAUCUUUUGAUUGUUGACUCCAGGCUUUUCAAGCAUAUUGAGGGCUGUUUUUGCUAUAUGGCCUGUGGAUUUCUGAGAACUGCUAUGUGAUCAUUCACAAUACAUGUAACACUCAGGACAUAAGGACAGCCCAGCUUGUAAACAGCAAAACAGGCAAUGCCUAGUUUCUGUUGUCCAGAAGCAUUAUGUAAUUGAAGUAACCACGAUCUUUCUAAUUGUGCGGCAUUGACCAAGUCAGCACCAAUCCCAGUGACUGGUUUGGGCACUGCAUGGUAGAGCUUUACUGCCACCUAGUGGGAUGAGAUCUACUUGUCUCAUUAUCAAGUUCACAAUGGGGGAAAUUGAUAAUUGAUUGGACAUGUGGCUUAUUUCUAUGUAGCUCAGGUUAUACUCUUGAAAGCUGAAGAGAUACAGGCUCCUGCCUCUCAGACUCAUUAGUUUGGUGUCACUGAACCACCUGCACAUUCUGAGUCUUCCCACCUUUUGUGCCUUUUAUCCUCUUGGGAGAAACUGACCAAGGAAUGUGGAGGUCAAUGUACAGUAGGUGAGAAAAGAGGAAAGAGUGUAAGAUGGCUUAAUGAAGCAAAAGCAGAAUGUUGACUUAGCAAGUCAUCUAAGAUCACUGUCUCCAAACUUUAUCCUGUUUCCUUAUUGAAAUAUUCUUGAGCAUGUAUCCAUAAUUACAACUGUGUGCAUGUGCUGCUGUGUUACUGUGAAAUUAUGAAACAAAAUUUUAAAUUGGGGAGGGGGGAGUUUAGCACCCUUCUCAAGCCCCCGUGAACUCUCUACUCAUUCCACUUUGGAAGCCAUUGAUCUAGGUAGUAUAUAGAUCGUUAAUAAUUUUUGUUGACUCCCCGAGGGUGUCCUAGUGAAGACUGCUGUGCUAUCCUAUUUGAUGUGAAAGGAAAAAUUACUGUCUGCCACUCCAGUAAAUUGAAGUCCUUUCUAAUAAAAAGCUUGCAAAUGUAAACAAAAGUCCGUGUAUUUCAUUCAGAAUAUUUUCCUUACCCUUUGUAAUAACAGCUAUCCACGUAUUGAACACUUAUUACCACAUUUCAGACGAUAAGUUAGUUUUUGUGUAUUAUCUUCAUCUAACCCUUAAUAGAUACCAGUAUUGCCCUUUUACAGAUGUGGAAACAGGUUUGGAGAUGUUUAGUGACUAACUUAGAGACAAGUGGUAAGUGGCAGAGCUGGAGUUUGAUGCAGUCUUGGUGAUGAGGUCAGGGCCUCCGUUGCUUUAGUCUUCUGCCGUGCGACCACCUGGUCUGUGCUAGAAAACUGAACACGCUAAUCCUGUGUGUUCAGAUCCCAUCUCUGAAUUGGGCAUGUUACUUCUCCUUUCUCAACAUUUGUUUCUGCAGCUGUAAGUUAGGGCCCAUAUCUCUCUUGCUGAUUCAGAGUGAAGAUUACAUUCUGUGACUGCACAUGUGAGGUGUCUGGACCUUGAGAGAUUAUCCUUGGGUGUUGCUGGAAGUGGUGAUGCUGGGGCCAUGACAGACAAAAGAGUAUUGUUUUUCCCCAGUUUUAGGCGAUGGUACAUUUUCAGUAAGUUUGCGUGGUGCUUGAUAGGUCUCUAGACUUGCUUCUUUGUAGACACAGCCUUUUGGAGUUACCAAGUAACUUUAUUGUUUCAACAAUAAAGCAUGCCAUGGAAAUAAGGUAAUUUUGGUGAAGAACGGGUUUUUUACAGUGCCAGUAAUGGGAGUUCUAAAAUAAUGUCAUUCUUUGCAAAUAGUGCUGGGAUGGUUUAUCAGAGUAUCUCAUCUCUGACAUUGCUGAAAAAAUUGCUUCUUUUCAAGCAAAUUGGUUCCCAUGAUUUGGGAUUAAUCCAUAGAAUGUUCAAAGUUUAGUGUCAGCCGUUUUCAACAGAAAAUAUGGGUUGACAAUUUCCUGUGUUCUUUAGAAGCCUUUCAAAGCUUCACAGGAAGAAUGAAGACUAUUCUUGGCCCGAACAUUUGCCCCAUGGGGUGCUGGGCCCAGCCAAACAGCCUUGUAUUAGCAAAGGAGGGUCAAGUGAAAGGAGACCUUGUUCUGUGCCAAGCUCUCCAAGGGUAGCCUGAAACCCCAUUGGCCACACAGAACCACUGUUUAAGGUGCAGUAUUUGUGGACCUGCCGAAAUCUAAAGCCAUUCAGGCUUUCUGAAAUCCUUUGGAAUGGGGAGAGGCAGCGGGUGACACUUCAGAUCUGUGAAGACCUGGCGUAAAGAUGGAGAGUUGAUGCGGGGGAUGGCAAGACACUGCCAACGAAUGUCUAUUUUUUUGUUCUCUCUUCCAAGUGGGCCCUGCUUAGCUUCCUAGCUUUCAGGUGUGUUGCAAGGUGCAGCGGUUCACCCUGGAGAUUUACAAGGUAACAGACCCCAGAACCCCCAUGGGUAUGGGGCUGGUUCUCACCAAAAUGUGGAGGAACUAACUUGGUCUAGCAGGGGCUUGCAACUUUUCUUUCCUCACUUAAUUCCAUUGUCUUUGAAUUUCACUGGUCUCUUUCAUAUUUAAAUAUAUGCUCCACUAGACUUGCAGGCACAGAAAAGUUCCCUGUAUUUUGGAUAAGCCAGUAAUUUAAGCCACUUGGCAAGUGGUGGGUGACGUGAUGGGGGCCCUGGCACAGCCGUUGGUGUUAGUGUGAGCUCUUCCCCCCUGCUUUUCAGAAGUCAAGGAAUGUAUGUUUUGUCUGGUGGGAGUGGAGAAAGUUGUCGAUUUUAUUCCUAGGGAUAAGUCUCAUAUGAUUAUAUAAAUGCAUGGCUUAGUGUGGUUACUUUAAAAAAAAAAAAAGUUGUAGUUAACAUUUCAGGAACAUAGUUCUUUCAUCCAGACACCAAAAUAAAAUCCUCCUGAGACCUUAGGGUUGCUGGGUAGAAGUGUCAGGAACUCAGGUUGGCAUCUUCUCUAAGUUCUACUUCAUUAGUGCCUAAUUAGACCCCGUCCUUCCUGUUUAGGUGCUUGAAAGAUGGAGUAGAUGCCACCGAGGUAAGCUCGCCUUCUGUGAUCUCUGCAUUCAGAUGGGGUCGGCCCCGUUACACUUCAUGUCCUGAAGAGAAGAUGCGCUUUUUCUCCAAUUUGCGUGAGAGGUAAUGGACCCCAUCCUACCAGAUGAGAAUAUUGUGACCAUAUUCCAACUAGGGAGAAUACCUGUUUGUCAGACGAGGGGAAAUUCAGCUGGAAAGCCGAGGGAGUGAAACAAAACCAGAGAAGAGUACAGCAACAAGCGUAUCAAGUGCCUGCUAGGUGCCAGAUGCGUAAAGUUCACAUCAAUGCUCAGUUGAAGCUCAGCAGAAUUCGAUGAUGCGGCUACUUAACCCCUUAUUAAAAACAGGCAGACUAGGGGGCCUGGCUGGCUCAGUUGAUAGUGUGUGCAGCUCUUGAUCUCAGGGUUGUAAAUCUGAGCCCCACAGUGGGUAUAGAUACUACUUUAAAAACUAAUAAAAUCUUUAAAAUAAAAAAUAAAGCCAAGCAGUCUAAAAUUUCACUGAAUGAAUAGAUAACAUUUGUAUUAGUCCUUGUGACACGCAAAGUAACAAAUGCCCCCUAACCUUGGUAACAACUACCAAAAAACAUUGUAAUAAUGUUUGUUAUCUUCGUUUCUGCAGGCCAGGAAUUAGCAGGCUGGUUCGAGCUAGGCAGUGGCGUUAAAGAUGUUGGCUUGGGGCUGUAGUCCUCUGAGGGCUUGACUGGGGCUGGAAGUCCCACUUCCAUGAUCGUUCACUCACAUCAUUGGCAAGCUGGUGUCAGGAGGCCUCAGUCCUUUGCUCUGUGGGUCUCUCCAGGAGGCUGCUUGAGUGUCCUUGUGACAUGGUGGCUGGCUUUCUCCCAGAACAAGUGAACCGAGAAAGAGCAAGGCUCAAGCCACAAUGCCUUUUAUUACCUAGCCUUGGAAGUCACACAAUGUCAUUUCUGCAAUAUGUUUAUGCAGCUCAGCCCUGUUAAACGUGGGAGGCCGCUGUACAAGAGCUGGAAUACUACGGAGGCUGCUGCCACAACAUUUUAUCUAUUUUCUGGUUAACAGAUGAUUUUUAACUUUUACAAAUAAUGCUGCGGUGAACAUUUCUGUAUACAGCUUCUUGCCCAAAUAUACAAGAUUCUACAGGCUUGUGUAUCGACAUGAAUAAAGCCAGCAAAUCUGUGGCCUUUGGGUUCUUAAGCUUCUCUCAAGGUUUCUGGAAGGCAUCUUAUAGAAGUUUGUUCCUUGGCCCCUCUUCACUCAGACCAGAUAUCCCCACAGUCCCAAUGCACAGCCUUCAUUAAGCCCAGGCUUACAUCUUGACCAGAGAAGAGAGCAGGAUCUCUCCCCCUGCUUCAGAGUUUGAAAAACCUCGGGGAAGAACUGCCACAGGCCCAAUAUGAUGACUGGCAGACACGGUCACUGAGAGAACCACUGUGAGCCAGACAGCAUCCCUGCUCCCUCGAAAGCCGGUCGCCCCCUAGGGAUUGUAAGUACAUAAGGGGCCAGUUCCGCAGCCAGCCUGGACCUUUGAAUCAGUUCAACUCACCCCCACCCCACAGCCCAGCUCUGGGCCAUCUGGGGCUUUGCCCGUGUUGGUUGCGGAGCUCUGCCUAGCGCACAACCUUCUUCCCCACACCCAGGCAGCCCCUGAACCUUCGCCCUCAUGACAGUGCACCUUUCGCCCGCCCUCCUGGCAGUCUGUCCUGGAUGUAGGUUUACCUCUACUCCAUGCGUUAUGGAUGCACCCAAAGCCCACAUCCCAGCAUCAACCCUCCCUGCACCCCAGGGCUGGCCUCCUACCGGUACCCCUAACAGAUUGUCAAAUAAUGCCAAUUAACUGUUUUCAUGAACUUUCUUCUUCUAACUUACAAUUUUGGCAAAAAAUGUUUUUCUGAGCCAUCUUUGACUCAUUUGCAGCUCCACGCCCCUUAUACUUAGGUGUGUAUUUUCUAGAAACAAGGAGAUUCCUUUCUGGUAACAGUACAAUAAUCAAAAUUUGAUGGAAUUUAAUGAGCUUUUAAUAAAACUUAAAAACAUUUAAAUAUCUCCUUUGCUACCUUAUCUUCCAAUAUAUUAUUUAUGUAUUCAUAUUUACAUGCACUGCAUUUUGCAUUAUGGCCCAGCCAAUUCUGGCUGUUGUGCUUGCAUUUCCCUUAAAUUUAAAGGGGGUCACUUUAGCGUUCCUGGGCCUGGACCUCUCGGGCACCAAUAAACCCUGACGGUUGAUGGCACAGAAUCAGUGGCAGUGUUGACAUCAGAGUCCAGGGUCUAGGCUCCCAGUUUAUUUCACUCUACACCAUAUGGGAGUAUACGCCAUUCAUUCAAUCAUUCAUUCCAUCCAACCUUCUCUUGAGCACUAGGUCUCAUGCGUGUGACAGCUAGGGGACACGGGUGAAUGUGCCUACUCUGCACAGGAGAGAGGUGCCUGAUGAAGCGUAGGGCCACAGUUGCAGACAACUGGGUGCGGCCAACAUUUGUUCCCCUCUGAGGGUCCAGUAAUGGCCAAGACCCUCAGGCUCCCUUCCCCACGCCCCAGGCUGCGCUGGGCCCAGCCCCGCGCUGGGACUUUUGCUUGCUGCCAGGAGAGACCUGAAUCCCGCCGCCACCGUCGGAGGCGGGGUGGAGGGGGUGCUGGGUUUGCGGUUCGGGGUAUUAGAGCAGCCACUGGUGGUGGCCCCAGGUCUGACUCGAGCGAGCCGGCGAAGGCGGGCUCCCCCGCGCCCCCUGGCGGCCGUGAACGCCUGCGCGGGCCCAGGCUCCCACGCGAGUCGCCCAGAGCCUCCACUCUCCGUGCGCGGCCAGCCCCGUGCCUCCUGGCAUCUGUCUCUCGGGGUCAAGAGGGGAUUGGGAUCUGUGGGGACAGACCCUGCUUUACUCCUACGGGCCACCAUUCGAGCGUCAGCGGCGGGCGGCGGCCCUUGGGACAGAAGGGGGCAGCAUCUCCACGCAGGCUGGGACCCGCGCCGGAAGGUGGCUUUUCUAGAUUCCCCACCACUCAACAGCCGGGUUUUAUUUUGUUUCGGAAAUACUUCAGGACCUUCUGUUACUUUUAUUUAUUUAGGGAAGAGUUUUAAGAAUGUUACAAAAGUAGCUUAGGCUCUUGGAACAGACCAAGCAACCAAAGAUAAAGACAGUAUUAAUGGUGUAGCCAUUCCUCAAAAAGUUAAACAUAGAAUUACUACAUGACCCAGCUCUGAGUCAUAUAACCUAGAAGACUUCCACUUCUGGGCAUAUACUCAAAAGAAGUGAAAGCAAGUUUCAAGCAGAUACUUGCACACGCACGUUUACAGCAGCGCUCUCCACAAUAACCAAAGGUGGACUCCUCCGUGGACACUCGCAUGGAUAUACCAAAUGUGGAAUAUACCACAGUGGACUAUUUGUCCAGCCUUAAAAAGAGAGAAAAUUUGGACACAUGCUACAACACGAAUGGAUGACCUUUGAGGACAUUAUGCUCUGUGAAAAAAGCCAGACACCAGACACAAAAAGACAAAUGUUGCAUGAUUCCACUUAUAUGAGCUAUCCAGAAUGGGCAACUUCAUUGGGACAGAAAUUAGACUAGAGGCUACUAGGUUCUGGGUGGGGGCACCGGAGAGUUAUUGCUUAAUGGGUACAGAGUUUCUCUUUGGAGUGUUGAAAUUUCUUGAAAAUAGUGGUGAUGGCCGCAGAGUAUUGUGAGUGUAAUUUGUGUCACUGAAGGCUACAACUUUGAGUUUACCUCUCUUCGUCCCGAGGCCAGGGGCAGUGGAGGAACUUAACAGGAGCCUGGAGUCAUGUAAAUGGAAGGGGCAGGAUUUGAGCAAGAUCAGUGUGGGCAGCCUCCCUCCAAGAGGCCAGCAGCUGUAGUGAAGUGCUUCUCAGGGCCUCACACCUCCCUUGGAGUGCCAUUUGCGGUUCUGUCACUAAAGAGAAAGGACCCCCUGAAAGUGAGAGGAGGAAGAGGUAGGAGACCGAUUAUCUCGUGGCUGAACCUUCUGUCAACGUUUUCAGAAAGAGCAGGGCGCUGUUCAUUCCCAGGAAGGUGGUGAGGCCAGCACAGUACAAGACACGACAGGAUGAACUUCUGGAGCUCUGGCAGAACCAGUCUCACAUUCCCGGGGUGGAGAACGGAGACCAUCAUCCGUACCUCGCAGCGUCCUUGUGAAGGUAAAACGAGACUGCGUCUAUCAAGUGCCUGGCAAAGCAUCUAGGAUACAGUAGGUGCUUAAUAAAUAUCAGUGUAGCAGGAUGCUAGCUGAAAGAUUGCAAAGUUCUGGUUUCUUUUUUUUUUUUUUUUUAAUUUUUUUUCAACGUUUUUUAUUUAUUUUUGGGACAGAGAGAGACAGAGCAUGAACGGGGGAGGGGCAGAGAGAGAGGGAGACACAGAAUCGGAAACAGGCUCCAGGCUCUGAGCCAUCAGCCCAGAGCCCGACGCGGGGCUCGAACUCACGGACCGCGAGAUCGUGACCUGGCUGAAGUCGGACACUUAACCGACUGCGCCACCCAGGCGCCCCGCGAAGUUCUGGUUUCUUAGUUUUGUGGGUGUUUUAUUUAAGUCAUUCUGUUCUUCCUUGAGAGUGGAGGCCAAGUGGGCUUAUGGCUGAUUAGGAGACGAGGAACGGUGUUUUUUCUCCUUCCAGGAAGAGAACUUUACUAUUCUUAAGAUCUUGACCUCCUUUACAUCCAGAAAACCUUUGUAGUUUUAAGGCUGAUGGCCUGUCAUGGCACAAAGAAGCAGAAUGGAUGUGUUCCAUUUUGGAGGCUUGAAAAGGGCCCAGUGGCCUGAGCCUGCCAGUUAGCCCCCAGGGGCUGGGAAUAACAAGCGGAGUGACAUUGAAAGUAAAUUGUUCUACUUAAAGUGUUGAAUCUUAACACAUCUUUUCCUGUGGCUCCAGAACUCUCUUUUUCUAUCAGGCUUUGUGGCUUUUAUACAAGAACCAGAAUUGAGGGCCAGGCCACACCCUGGACAGUCCUGGCCAUGUACUAGCCACUGACCCAUAAGUGACGGGAAUUAUCUGUGGAUUGUCUUUUUCGGGGAGAUGGGGUGUGACUACAGUUCUGAUCAAUGAUGCUGGUGACACUUAUCUUUAUCCAAAGAGACACAUUAGAAACUUAGUGCUGUGUGGCUCCAAAGGGAUCCCAAUCUUUCUGGGAGAAAUGGCUAAGUCAAUGAUAAUAUAAGCAGAGAAUGUAACAUUUUGCUCUAUGAAAAAUCCUACUUUCGAAGCUUUCUUAUUGACAUGGGAAAAUGUUAACGUCACAUCCAUUCUGAUAAUCCACACCGGUGCCUCUGCGGCAGAACACCAGCUGAUGAGAGAGGAACAGAAGCACAAACAGGCCACGCCCGAAUCUUCUGGAAAUUACUCUUUGGCUGGUUUCCAUCCCAUAGCUAAUUGGUGUGCUUUUCAGACCUUGUGAACCAGAAGCGAUGGCCCCAGGAUCACGAACUUCGCAAUUGGAAGCUCAGCCUGUCUUGGCACAGGGGGAGAGCCUUUGCUCCGCAAACCGUGGGUGAUCACUCCUACUGGGAAGUCCAGGGUCAGCAGUCUGGGGUCAGGGUUCCAGGUUGGGCUCAGUGAUCAGGGCUUCAGGGCGUAGGACCCUCGUGCUUCCUGUACAGGCUGGGGGCAGGGGCCCUGCCUUCCUGCCUCCUCACGCCAAGUCCUAAGGUCAUGCCCAGGUCUCUGGACCCCUGCCCUGUAUCUGGUAAGGAACUUGUUUCUAGAAUAUGUAAAGAACUCCUACAACUUAAUAAUAAAAGGACAACCCAAUUUAAAAAAUGGGCAAAAUAUCUUAGUAGAUACUUGUCCAAAGAAGAUAUACAAAUAUAUAAGCACAGGAAAAGAUGUUCACCAUCACGAGCCAUUGUGGGAAUGCAAAUCAAAACCACAACCAGAUACUAAUUCACACAGUAGGAUGUUGAUUAUUAAAAAUCCAGAUAAGGAGGGGCACCUGGGUGGCUCAGGUGGUUAAGUGUCCGACUUCAGCUCAGGUCAUGAUCUCAUGGUUCCUGAGUUCAAGCCCUGCGUCGGG